GAUGAACGCUGGCGGCGUGCCUAAUACGUGCAAGUCGAGCGAACAGACGAGGAGCUUGCUCCUUCGACGUUAGCGGCGGACGGGUGAGUAACACGUAGGUAACCUACCUGUAAGACUGGGAUAACAUCGGGAAACCGGAGCUAAUACCGGAUAAUAUUUCGAACCGCAUGGUUCGAUAGUGAAAGAUGGCUUUGCUAUCACUUAUAGAUGGACCUGCGCCGUAUUAGCUAGUUGGUAAGGUAACGGCCUACCAAGGCAACGAUACGUAGCCGAUCUGAGAGGGUGAUCGGCCACACUGGAACUGAGACACGGUCCAGACUCCUACGGGAGGCAGCAGUAGGGAAUCUUCCGCAAUGGGCGAAAGCCUGACGGAGCAACGCCGCGUGAGUGAUGAAGGUCUUCGGAUCGUAAAACUCUGUUAUUAGGGAAGAACAAACGUGUAAGUAACUGUGCACGUCUUGACGGUACCUAAUCAGAAAGCCACGGCUAACUACGUG
RNAcentral lists this ribosomal RNA (497 nucleotides) under uncultured bacterium. RNAcentral's name for it is "partial 16S ribosomal RNA". It matches the Rfam family "Bacterial small subunit ribosomal RNA", at positions 28 to 507 of the family's 1533-position model. The record is from RNAcentral.